Molecule: long non-coding RNA, 204 nt
Filed under: Gossypium raimondii (Peruvian cotton)
Lineage: Eukaryota; Viridiplantae; Streptophyta; Magnoliopsida; Malvales; Malvaceae
Description: long non-coding RNA (GRAI_LNC008369)
Source: RNAcentral
UUCUUUGCGAUUUUUCUACCAUUAGGGGUUCUUUUCGAGUUUGUGUUUUAGCUAUUGAAGUGAUCAAAAUUUCCACUACUUCUCGUCUUUCCUUCAAUUGCAGAUUAGGUAAUCUUCUUUUGGUUUCUUUUUCUUUAUUUGCUUUGCCGAAAUCCUUUUCUUCUCUCACUCUUGGUUCUGCUUCUUCUUUUCCUUCUGAAUCCU